AGCAGAUUCCCUGGGUAAAAGCAGAUUCUCAGAUGGAGUGGGCAGAUUCUCAGGGUGAAGCAGCAGAUUCCCUGGGUAAAAGAGCAGAUUCUCAUGAGGGAUAGGCAGAUUCUCAGGGUGAAGGAGCAGAUUCCCUGGGUAAAAGCAGAUUCUCAGGAGGGAUAGGCAGAUUCUCAGGUGAAGUGGGGCAGAUUCUCAGGGUGAAGGAGCAGAUUCCCUGGGUAAAAGAGCAGAUUCUCGGGUGGAGUGGGGUAGAUUUUUAGGAAGAA
Molecule: non-coding RNA, 269 nt
Organism: Pelobates cultripes (western spadefoot toad)
Lineage: Eukaryota; Metazoa; Chordata; Amphibia; Anura; Pelobatidae
Source: the annotation of a GenBank genome assembly